RNA transcript from Oryza brachyantha (malo sina), 3177 nucleotides. It is a transcript of the gene named scarecrow-like protein 9, with no coding region annotated. NCBI's taxonomy places the organism in Eukaryota, Viridiplantae, Streptophyta, Magnoliopsida, Poales, Poaceae. The record is from RefSeq and is a predicted model, not a curated record. The transcript is spliced from 5 exons.
GACCUGCGGUAGCCCUCCCCGCCUGUGCCUGUGCCUGUGCCUGUGCCUCCGCCUCGCUCGCGUGAGCGCCGCGCCAGCGAGGUGGUGUGGGUUGCGGCCGCGGCGGGGUUCCCUCUCCCUCCUGCCCGCUUCCGUGUUGGUUCCGUACGGGAUCGAAUCGGAGGUCUGCUGUUUUUGGAGGCUAUCGAUGGGCCUCGACAACAAUUUUGGCGAGCUAUCUGGCAUGUUCUGCGGCUUGUCUUAUGAUGGCUACGCGGAGCACACCAGCCAGAGUGAUUACUUCAGGUUCGCUGAUCCGCAGCCGGCGAUCGUGCCACAGAUGGACGCCGGGACCAGCUCGAACGCUUCGUCCGCGGUGUCGAGGGUCACCGUCAACUCAGGAGCUGACAAUCCAGAGGACUGGGAGUUUAUAUCAGACGAGUCGCUCAACUACAUCAGCCGCAUGCUCAUGGAGGAAGACAUUGAUGAGAAGGUCAGCAUGUACCAGGAGGAGUCGGCGGCGCUCCGCGCGGCUGCGAAGCCGUUCUACGACAUUCUUGGGCACAAGUUCCCGCCAUCCCCUGACCACCAAAUGGUAGCUUGGCCCCUGGACAGCCCGAGUGAGAGCAGCACGAGCAGCUGUCCGCAGUCCUUUUCUAGUAGUGUUACUAGCAGCAACACUGGUGGUGUGGUCGAUGGCAGACAGCGGCAUAAUGUUGGACGCAGUGAGCAUCGGAGCUUUUCUGGUCAUCCAUCUCAACCGCUGGUUAGCACAUCAAGCGAUGUUUGCAACACAGCGGAGGUAUUAGAAGAUCCUUUGAUUACCAGUGGCAGGAUCCCUGAGUAUUUGUUUGAGAGCUUUCCAACCUGGGAUUUCAGGAGAGGUGUUGAGGAGGCACGUAAGUUUCUCCCAGGUAGUGAUAAGCUAGUGAUUGAUUUAGAAGCUGGUGGUAUUGCAAAACGUCAAGAAGCACGGAAGGCUGUUUCUUUGAAUGGCAGCAAGUCAGAGGUUUUGAAGGUGAAGAAAAACAAACAGAUUGAAGACCUUGACCUGAUUGAAGGACGGAACAUCAAACAGUCUGCAUUUUGUUCUGAUGAACCUGAUUGGAUUGAGAUGUUUGAUGAUCUGCUUCGUCAAACUGAGAAGAAGGCAACUGAUCUUAUGAACAUAAUGAAAACUGAAGCUUCGAAGAAUUCUCAAGUCACUCAGACAAAAGGAGCAAGUGGGACCCGAUCGCGGGGAAGGAAGCCAACAAAGAAGGAUGUGGUGGACCUUAGGACGAUCCUCAUCCACUGUGCUCAGGCAGUGGCAGCUGAUGACCGCCGAACUGCUAGUGAGUUGUUAAAGCAAGUAAGGCAGCAUGCCAAGCCAAAUGGGGAUGGUGCCCAAAGAUUGGCAUAUUGCUUUGCAGAUGGUCUUGAGGCUCGCUUGGCCGGAACAGGGAGCCAGCUUUAUCAUAAACUUGUGGCAAAACGGACAACAGCCUCUGACAUGCUCAAGGCAUACCAUCUUUACCUUGCAGCAUGCCCAUUCAAGAGGCUCUCACAUUUCCUCUCCAAUCAAACAAUCUUAAGUCUGACAAAAAAUGCAUCAAAGGUGCAUAUCAUUGACUUUGGCAUUUACUUUGGCUUCCAAUGGCCGUGUCUGAUUAGGCGUCUUUUCAAGAGGGAAGGUGGGCCACCAAAGUUGCGCAUCACAGGGAUUGAUGUACCUCAGCCAGGUUUCCGUCCGACUGAGCGCAUCGAAGAGACAGGGCAGAGGCUUGCAGAAUAUGCUGAGAAGAUUGGUGUCCCUUUUGAGUACCAAGGCAUUGCCUCAAAGUGGGAAACCAUCCGUGUUGAGGAUCUCAAUAUCAAGAAAGAUGAAGUAGUGAUUGUUAAUUGCUUGUAUCGGUUCAGAAAUCUUAUUGAUGAAACAGUUGCUGUAGACAGUCCUAGGAAUAGGGUGCUCAAUACCAUAAGGCAAGUGAACCCCGCAAUUUUUAUACAUGGUAUUGUCAAUGGGUCAUACAGUGUCCCCUUCUUCAUCACCCGGUUUCGUGAGGCAUUGUUUCAUUUCUCUGCGUUGUUUGACAUGCUUGAGGCAACUGUGCCGCGGGAUGAUGCCCAACGUGCACUCAUUGAGAGGGAUCUAUUUGGCCGAGAAGCGCUCAAUGUUAUUGCAUGUGAAGGCUCAGACAGGGUCGAGAGACCGGAGACAUACAAGCAGUGGCAAGUGAGGAAUCUGAGGGCUGGAUUUGUCCAAUGUCCAUUAAACCAAGACAUUGUGAUGAAAGCCAAGGACAAAGUUAAAGACAUUUAUCACAAAGACUUUGUUAUUGACGAAGACAGUGGAUGGCUUCUUCAAGGAUGGAAAGGAAGGAUUAUCUAUGCCAUAUCUACAUGGAAGCCUAAUAACAAUUAGGUUGUUAUUAGGUUAGGGUCUGUGGGCUGUGCCUAGUUGCCCAUUAGCACUAGCAAUUAAGGAGCAAAGGUACUUGCAUUGGACUACAAGCGUAUGUACAGUGAUCAUAAAUGCGAGAGGUUGCCGUCCAAGAUGAGACCCCCAUGGCCAAGGCUGAUACCCAGUGCAAUGGUGGCAAAGGCGGAGGCCCUCUAGCGGCUAUGAUGGUUAUUCAUCUGGGGCAGCAGGCGAUGGCGUGCACCAUUGUACCCUGGCCUUGACUUCAUUUGUGAGAAUGUUCUUUGGGACUUUGGCACAGUCAGGUGCAUGCUUAUUUGAUUAUGGAAAUUAGGGACUUGUGUCUGAGGGAUUAUGUUCCUAGCAAGCCAGAAUUCUUUGUCAAUUGCUUCCUCGAGAUGCUGUUGCUGGAGGAAUAGGAGAAGACUUUGCUGCUUCAGGGGUGCCAAGGCCUGCAGUAUCAUAGGCAUGGAUUUAAUUUGACUUGGAUACAGUGGACGAUAAAUCGGUGCAUUUGUACUUUAUGGCCUACUGAUCCUGAUGAAGCCUUGGUUUUAGCCAUUGUUGCAUGGGUGCUUAGUGGUGCAGUGUUUUCUGAAUUUCUCUUUUCUACGGAUGUAAUUUAUAGGGUAUCUUUUUUUUUUUUAAUUUGGAUUGCAUUGUACUUACUACAUAAAUGUUAUUUAUCCUUUUUUGGCCCAACUAUUUUCUUCCAUCCAUGCUUACCUUACUGAGACUUACUGCUCACAUUCUGAUUAUGGAAAGAGGCUAAUUUUGUGUUACGUGUAGUGGAAGUU